This is a long non-coding RNA of Gasterosteus aculeatus aculeatus (three-spined stickleback), 3008 nucleotides long. Lineage: Eukaryota; Metazoa; Chordata; Actinopteri; Perciformes; Gasterosteidae. The record is from Ensembl.
AAAAAAUAUUUCAAUAAAUAUAUCAAAACAACAGUAGUUACUGGAGAUCACCAGCACAGGAUCUUUCCAUCAGGGUUUAUAUUUACGUUGUAUUUGAGUGUAUUUCAUAUUGACUGAGAUGCUGCUCAGAGGAAGUGAUGAUUGCGUUGAUUACGACGGUUUAGUUUGAACUUUGAAAUCAAGCGUGACAUUUAAAUUUGGCCUUUCAGAGAGACGAAAUCAUGGAUUCUUUGUCAAUCACUCAGCAGGAGACACAGACACUCGAUGUGUAUCCGUGUCCUAUAAAACAUCCCUCUUAUUCCCACCCGACGAGUCUUUGUGUCCCUGUAUUUAAGAAAAGUUAUUUUCAACUGCUUUAAAAGCAAAUAUAUAUUCAAUCAUCUGAUUUUUUGCAAACAUACUUACUUGCCCACAGAAGGAGGUCUGGAUGUUAAAACGGUGCUUUCUGUUCCACUAAGACGUUCACGUCCUCCUCAGGAUGAACUGUGUUUGCUAUUUUCUUUUCUCACCAUCAUCUUCAGUUGGUGACAAAACGUUCACACGACUUCAUCCCCACCUUCCACGAGCUCACGUGUUGUGCAGCGUGUGAAAACCGCAGCGACUCCGAGACCCUCGAGUUGUUGUUCAGCGUUACAACAAUCUGACAACGCUGAGAGACGUUCAGCUCCGGUUCCUGUGAGCGGCCUUCGGGUCGCCAAAGGUUCACCACAGCAACGCGGGUUUAUCCAAACGUGGCACCCAAACCUCCAUUAAAUCUACUUUAUCUGCCCGUGCACAUCGAGAGAGUCAGCCAGGAAUCGGGAGGAGACACUAGAAGCCCACCUUAAUGCCCCCCCCCCCCCGUAUGGGAGAGGGAACAUUGGGCCAAGAGGAGCUUCCAGGAAGCCGCUCGUGUGUCGUCAUCCCCGGAGGGAUCACCGCUUUCCGGCGUGAAAGCAGGCAGCCGUGCAGAAUCGUGCUCCCCGCGGGCUGCGCCCCAUAACCGGAUCAUCCUCCAUCCGCAGCGCUAAUCAGGUGCUGAUGGUGCUCGGACGCACAGCAGGGAUUCUUCUUCUUCUUCUUCUUCUUCUUCUCCACCCUUCCUGCGUUGGCUAUUUGCCUUCUUACUUCAAACCGACCAAUGGUUUAGUUUUUGUAAAGAAUGUGUGCAAAAAUAAAUUUGAAUACAUUUAAAAAAUGUAUUUCUUUAUUUUUUGAAGGCGCAUAAGAAAUUGGGAGCUGGCAGCAUCUAAGCUAACGGCGCGAUCGGCGCAAAAAGAGCUAACGGCAUGCUAUGCCUAGCCCAGGUAGUGUUUACCCGCGCUUCAAAGAUUUACAUCUUUGCAUGAAAAGGUUUUUCUCGGUUUGCUUUUCUCUCACUGUGAACUCUUUAUGAUUUAACUGAUUUAAUAGUUGUUCAGUUUGUGAAACCCGUGUUCUGCGAAAUGCUCACAACCUCCCGACUGCCUCACAUUCCACUGUGACACACACACACACACACACACACACACACUCACUCACGGCCAGUUGUGACACGGCCAGUGACGCACAGAGUGACGAAGAUGAGGAAGGCACCCGGAAGGCGGAGUAGAGAUGGAGGCAUAUUUCUAAGGAGAUCAGUCGCAGGUAGCAGCGACAGACCGACACACUUUCUAUACACAGACACAAACAUACCUGCUACAUGUGUGUCGAUGGAAGGAAGAUGUCUUUGUGCUUUUCUUCCUCCAUCACUCUUUCCUUGUUCUAUGUCGUACACGACUAAAUUAGUUCUUCCAGGGAACAUAUUUGGUGUUUGUUUAUGUGUAAGACACAAAAUCCGCAUUUGUUUCCGUCCUCCUUUUCUCUGACGUCUCAAUGACACACGAACCUCAUCUUUUCUAUAUUCUAAUCGUUUAUUUUCUCUCGUUUUGUUCUCUGGCUUCCUGCUUCCAGAGUCAUAAAAGAGCUUCUGACUGUUUUAAUGUAAAAAAAAAUGAGCAGUUAUUGUAUUUUGCCUUAAACCAUUAAGGUUAUUAUUAGCAUGAUGGAAACUUGCACUUCAGGUGCAUCUUUUAAUUGCCAGUAAUUACUACGCCCACACACCCCGUCAUGGUGACACACACACACACACACACACACAGCCUUUAGAGACGCUCACGACACACAACUGGUACUUUUGAAUGGGAGGGGGAAGCGUCCUCUGCGUUAAGCCAGCUCACAGGAAAUGAUGAGACACUCACUUUCAAAUGUGUUAAAAUACAAACAUCCGCUUGAUUGCAACCUUUUACGAUUGCGAACAAAUUAGACAAUUGCUGCACGGCGUCUUCCUGGUGAAACGUGGUGAUGCUGCCGCCUCGUUGCAGCCAAUCACGGACAAAUGGCACCGUGGCUGAUAAUCCUAAACGAUUUUCUUGCUGCUUAUUUGGGGAGUCAUUGUCUGAAGAGUCAGAGACACACAAAGCACCACACAACACUCGUCGUGUUUACAUUAAUGUCAGGAGAUAUUGUAUGUGAUUGGACACACUUAGGGCCAAUAGAAAUAUUUUCUUCUAUAUCUAACGACAGGUACAAAACGUAAUGUUUUUCCUGAUGUUAGUCAGUUGUUCUUUCCGGCCGUCGUGUAUUUCUGUUUCAGUCAUUUUCCUCCAACAGCGGAGAGAAAUGUCGCACAUCAACCGUCUGCUCGGCCAUUUGGGAGAGAAAAGCCUACAAAGAAAUCUUUAAAAAGCCUACAUGAUUUCACACGUGCUUCCUUGUCGAGGUCCCAUGUGGUCCCUGAUUGGCUGCUGAAACCAUGUGGUUCCUAAUUGGCUGGUGGACCCAUGUGGUUCCUAAUUGGCUGCUGGACCCAUGUGAUCCCUGAUUGGCUGCUGGACCCAAGUCGUCCCUGAUUGGGUGCUAAACCUAUGUGGUCCCUGAUUGGCUGCUGGACCAUGUGGUCCCUGAUUGGCUGAUGAAACCAUGUGGUUCCUAAUUGGCUGCUGGACCCAUGUGAUCCCUGAUUGGCUGCUGGACCCAAGUCGUCCCUGAUUGGGUGCUAAACCCAUGUG